Long non-coding RNA from Mustela putorius furo (domestic ferret), 2221 nucleotides. The record is from Ensembl. Lineage: Eukaryota; Metazoa; Chordata; Mammalia; Carnivora; Mustelidae.
AAGUUGAAGAAAUCAAUCCUUUCUCAAUUCAUAUAUUUGUAAAAAAGUAAGAUGGUGCAGAGUCUGAAAGUAUGAUUUCGUAUCAAGUUGGAGAAGAUUGCUAUAAUUCCCCUGGGCAUAGUCAAGUCGCUUCAUUGAGCACAUAAUAUCUCAUACUUAAAAAAAAUGCUAUGUAUGUUCUCAUUUCACCUGAAUGCUCUUUAUACUUGUCUAUCUACGAGAGGUUGGGCGGUGAGUGGCAUACUAGUAGGAUGUGUUCGAGCAAAUCUCGAUUCUGACAGUUCCAAUUCUGAGCUGGGGGACAGGGUAGGAAUGGGGAAGGCGCAAGAUAUCUCAUAUUACUCUCUUUUGCCCUUAGCUGCUUUCUCCCCAUCUCCAGUCUGCUGCUGUUUGCCAUGCAGAGAUAGAAUUGUUCCGUGGACGGAGGCUUUUCAUAGCCAGACAGCUGCAGAGGCAGAGAAAAAUGCAGAGGCCCAAAUGGGAGGCGUGUAUUCAGAAGCCCGACCUGCGGGAAAGGUCCCAGGCAGCGACCCGAGCACCGAGCUUUCCCUUACAUUAUGCACAACCUGGAUAUUUGGACCUGCUGCUCAGUGGAUCCUGUCCUUCUGUGAAGGUGUCAUUAUACACUUAAAAAAAUGCACUUGCAUGGUAAGAUCCAACCUCUUCUGUUAAACAGGUAGUUAGACAAUGCAGUGCCUCUUGAUAGUUAAGUGUGGCUAAACGUGUGCAAUGCCUCCACACACAUGUGCGUGCACACGCACAUGUUCUGAGAUGGUUUAACUUGAGAGUUCAGCUCUAUCCUUGGGUACUGUUAAAGUAUUUAAUACGAGCCCAUUUACAAACAAAAGGACUGUCACUUUGAUGCCUAUGCACGGAAAGAAAGAUGUGCUUGUUGGCCACCAAAUAGCUCCGUUUCCGUACAGUUAAUUUUAGGAGCUUCUGUUCAUGCUCAAUUCUGAUUUCCACUUUGCAGAGACUUGCCUCUGCUGUUUGGACAGGUGAGAGCAUCAAACACACAAUUCUGUUAAAAUUAUAGCUUGUUUGUGUGAGGCAGAAGCAUUUUAGCAUGUUAUCAGUUACUCCUACUGUCUAUUUUGACGGCUUUUUAUUUAUGAAAUAUUGGCAUAUUUUUAUCUGCAAGUCUUCUCAGUUGUUUUUGGAAGAGAGAUUUGGAGAAACAUGAAUGGUGGGCGCAGCCAUGGACAGCCGAUUCUAAAUUAAAUGAUCUUGCCAUUUUAUUUUUAAAAAAGAGAAAUUAGCACGAGUUCAUUUAAUGUCUUGCAAGGUCCAAGCCAGAAAUAAUUCCAUAAUCCUAAAGGACUGCUCCUCUUUAAUACUAAAAACAUCUCUUUAAAUACAUGUGCCUUUAUCUCAGCAUUUUGCAUUCUUUUAUAUUUCUCUGGGCAUUGGAUUUUGGGCUCUGUUUAGUGCACAUCCCUUUCUUCUAAAUUCUUCUUAAAACUAAUCUCUUUUGGGGAGUCUUUCCAGAACGUUGUGUCUCAGCAUUCAUACUUUUUAUUGUGUGUACAGAGGGAAUUUGUUUUUCUCACUUGAUUCUGCAUGGCAUGGGGGCUGGAUAAAAGUGGGCAUGUCUUUUAUCCAAAAUAUAAAAAAAAGUUUUUCAGAACACCCGAUUAAAACCAACCACAAUGCUGAGAGGACUGCUUGGGACAAGAAAUCAUUUGCAUGUCAAGGUUCUUUCAUUCUUUAUGAUAACCUGCUGCUAGAAAUACUGCAGCUCCUGGAUGAGCCCGACCUAAAACUGAUAUCCAGCAGUGAAAUUUGAAUUUCGAUAUAUGUUGUAUAAUGAGACCCACUUAAAGUCCUUUGAGCCUAAAAUCUCAUGAAAACCAUUUCUGUAAGAUCCUUUCCAUAUUUCCUGUUUCUAGGGAUGUAAUUAGAUUUAUGUAUGACUUACGAGGCUGUUGUAGCUUUGGUUAUAAUUACAAAGAGGGUGGACUCCGGUCAGAACUGUAACAUUGCCAAGUGCCUUAUUGGCGCCCUUUUCCCGGGUACCCAUUUGAUUUCCCUGGGACCCCAUUUCAGGGUCCACUGGGCCAGAUACUGUCCUUGGCUGAGGCCCCACUUUAUUCUGUGAUUCCAAUCCCCUUCUUAUCUGUUUGUUUGUAUGAUCAUUCAUUCAUUCAUUCUUUCAUAUAACAAAUACUCAUUGAGAACCAGGUUCUACUCUGCUCGGAAUUUAGAAGAGGACAGAAUUGCC